This 523-nucleotide ribosomal RNA is filed under the name uncultured bacterium. RNAcentral's name for it is "bacterial SSU rRNA". It matches the Rfam family "Bacterial small subunit ribosomal RNA", at positions 986 to 1509 of the family's 1533-position model. The record is from RNAcentral.
AUCCAGAGAACUUAGCAGAGAUGCUUUGGUGCCUUCGGGAACUCUGAGACAGGUGCUGCAUGGCUGUCGUCAGCUCGUGUUGUGAAAUGUUGGGUUAAGUCCCGCAACGAGCGCAACCCUUAUCCUUUGUUGCCAGCGAUUCGGUCGGGAACUCAAAGGAGACUGCCGGUGAUAAACCGGAGGAAGGUGGGGAUGACGUCAAGUCAUCAUGGCCCUUACGAGUAGGGCUACACACGUGCUACAAUGGCGCAUACAAAGAGAAGCGACCUCGCGAGAGCAAGCGGACCUCAUAAAGUGCGUCGUAGUCCGGAUCGGAGUCUGCAACUCGACUCCGUGAAGUCGGAAUCGCUAGUAAUCGUGGAUCAGAAUGCCACGGUGAAUACGUUCCCGGGCCUUGUACACACCGCCCGUCACACCAUGGGAGUGGGUUGCAAAAGAAGUAGGUAGCUUAACCUUCGGGAGGGCGCUUACCACUUUGUGAUUCAUGACUGGGGUGAAGUCGUAACAAGGUAAGCGUAGAUGA